UAAGACUGGGAUAACUUCGGGAAACCGGAGCUAAUACCGGAUAACAUAUUGAACCGCAUGGUUCAAUAGUGAAAGGCGGCUUUGCUGUCACUUAUAGAUGGAUCCGCGCCGUAUUAGCUAGUUGGUAAGGUAACGGCUUACCAAGGCAACGAUACGUAGCCGACCUGAGAGGGUGAUCGGCCACACUGGAACUGAGACACGGUCCAGACUCCUACGGGAGGCAGCAGUAGGGAAUCUUCCGCAAUGGGCGAAAGCCUGACGGAGCAACGCCGCGUGAGUGAUGAAGGUCUUCGGAUCGUAAAACUCUGUUAUCAGGGAAGAACAAAUGUGUAAGUAACUGUGCACAUCUUGACGGUACCUGAUCAGAAAGCCACGGCUAACUACGUGCCAGCAGCCGCGGUAAUACGUAGGUGGCAAGCGUUAUCCGGAAUUAUUGGGCGUAAAGCGCGCGUAGGCGGUUUUUUAAGUCUGAUGUGAAAGCCCACGGCUCAACCGUGGAGGGUCAUUGGAAACUGGAAAACUUGAGUGCAGAAGAGGAAAGUGGAAUUCCAUGUGUAGCGGUGAAAUGCGCAGAGAUAUGGAGGAACACCAGUGGCGAAGGCGACUUUCUGGUCUGUAACUGACGCUGAUGUGCGAAAGCGUGGGGAUCAAACAGGAUUAGAUACCCUGGUAGUCCACGCCGUAAACGAUGAGUGCUAAA
RNAcentral lists this ribosomal RNA (700 nucleotides) under Staphylococcus pasteuri. RNAcentral's name for it is "bacterial SSU rRNA". It matches the Rfam family "Bacterial small subunit ribosomal RNA", at positions 133 to 820 of the family's 1533-position model. Lineage: Bacteria; Bacillati; Bacillota; Bacilli; Caryophanales; Staphylococcaceae. The record is from RNAcentral.